This 859-nucleotide ribosomal RNA is filed under the name uncultured Zetaproteobacteria bacterium. RNAcentral's name for it is "bacterial SSU rRNA". It matches the Rfam family "Bacterial small subunit ribosomal RNA", at positions 32 to 883 of the family's 1533-position model. The record is from RNAcentral. Lineage: Bacteria; Pseudomonadati; Pseudomonadota; Candidatius Mariprofundia.
GACGCUGGCGGCGUGCCUAACACAUGCAAGUCGAACGGUAACAGGGACUUCGGUCCGCUGACGAGUGGCGCACGGGUGAGUAACGCGUGGAGUUACCUACCCAUCAGUGAGGAACAACCUGGAGAAAUCCAGGCUAAUACCGCAUACGACCUUCGGGUGAAAGAGGGGGAUCUUCGGACCUCUCGCUGAUGGAUGGUUCCGCGUCCGAUUAGUUAGUUGGUAAGGUAAUGGCUUACCAAGACGAUGAUCGGUAGCUGGUUUGAGAGGAUGAUCAGCCACACUGGAACUGAGACACGGUCCAGACUCCUACGGGAGGCAGCAGUGGGGAAUUUUGCACAAUGGGCGCAAGCCUGAUGCAGCGACGCCGCGUGCGGGAAGAAGGCCUUCGGGUUGUAAACCGCUUUCAACAGGGAAGAAGGAAUGAGGGUCAAUACCCCUCUGCCUUGACGGUACCUGUAGAAGAAGCCCCGGCUAAUUUCGUGCCAGCAGCCGCGGUAAUACGAAAGGGGCAAGCGUUGUUCGGAUUUACUGGGCGUAAAGAGAUCGUAGGUGGCUUGUUAAGUCGGAUGUGAAAUCCCGGGGCUCAACCCCGGAACUGCAUUCGAUACUGGCAGGCUUGAGUUCGGGAGGGGGAAGCGGAAUUCCGUGUGUAGCAGUGAAAUGCGUAGAUAUACGGAGGAACACCUGAGGCGAAGGCGGCUUCCUGGACCGAUACUGACACUGAGGAUCGAAAGCGUGGGUAGCAAACAGGAUUAGAUACCCUGGUAGUCCACGCCCUAAACGAUGUCUACUAGCCGUUGCGGGUAUCGACCCCUGCAGUGGCGCAGCUAACGCAAUAAGUAGACCGCCUGGGGAGUAC